RNAcentral lists this long non-coding RNA (2442 nucleotides) under Zostera marina. RNAcentral describes it as "long non-coding RNA (ZMAR_LNC000063)". Lineage: Eukaryota; Viridiplantae; Streptophyta; Magnoliopsida; Alismatales; Zosteraceae. The record is from RNAcentral.
CCACUCCCAUCUCCGGCGAUCUUGUUUUUCUCCCACUCCCAUCUCCGGCGAUUUCUGACGAGCAACCAGCGACGCGUCUAUACCGGCGAGCGACGACCAGCGGCUAGUCUGUUGUUAAGUUGCUCUGGGCUUCCGACCAUCUCCAUUCUUCCGACGAUCGAUCACUUCCAGGUAAGUUGAAGUUUAAUGGUUGAAGUUUAAUGGUUGCAGUCUAAUGGUUAAGUUCAAAAUUCUGAAUGGGUGUAAUACCAGCAGACCUAACACCCUAACUCUUGCAAGUUUUUUUUGGGUUCUUGGUUUAACAGUGGAACUUAGUAUCAAUGUUUGUAAAAAAUAUUGAAUUAUUUUGGAAAAAUUAGUGGACAAGUGGCGGGUGCUAUACUUCUAUCAAAAUGAAUCUACAAUUCGAACUAAUAUAAUUUUCCCUAUUUGAAUCAGUAGGAGCUUUUUCCAUUGUUCAAAUAAAUGGUUAUGAAAGUUCUAUUUGUUUGUUUUUUUACAAAAAAUAAAGUUUUUCAUUAAUAGAAUUGUGUGGUUAAUAGUGAUGUCCUGCAGAGCCCUUCCCUUAAUAUACUAUCUGUUUUGCAUCCAACUGGCCAGGACAUAGUUCGAUCCUCUCUUUUGAGGCUAUUACUUCCUUACACUUGGCUGAAUCAAUUGUGUAGUUAAUAGUGAUGUCCUGCAGAGCCCUUCCCUUAAUAUACUAUCUGUUUUGCAUCCAACUGGCCAGGAUAGAUGUUUAUCCCCAUAGCACUACAGCAUUCAUGAUUGGGGCAGUUGUGGCUAUCAUAAAUAGAUUUCUAACCCCUAAUUUUCCUUCCUAUCUACCAUGUGUUCUAUUUAUACACUAAGUUCUAUCGGCUGUGAACCAGAUCAUUAUAACAAUUAUUCAAAAAUAUAUUCACAAAAAUGAUGCUUGGAUAGUUGAAUCUACACAAAAAUCUAAUUAUUCUCCUAUCGAGGUUAAUGUGCUUACUGAUUAAGGGGAGUCUAAUUUGUUGAGGUAAGUCUCUAAUCAGUCAGCUAUAUGGAUGGAUAAGGAUUACUAAACUCCCUUUUAUCUAUAUAUAUUUCUUGUUGGAGUUAAAAAAAAGAUAAUCAAAGUUAAGGGUGCAUACGAUUUAUUUCAGCAUGAUAUAAGUGUAACAGGGCUCUUUGAUCGAAGCCAAAAAUUAUAAAAAAAAAUAUUUAAACUUAAAAAUUUCAUUUGAAACAUUUUCAUUACUUUUUUUAAAGUAUACCGAAAUCUUUUUUUAACCGAUUGACUCGGCUAUGAAAAGAAGCUAACCAAGUAGUUGGGAUUUCUAACACCUAUUUUUAUAAAAUGAAAGUUCAUACUACAAAAAUAAGAUAAAGGGGAUGUUGUUCAUAUCGCAUACUACAAAAAUUGUGCAAGUUCAUACUACCGCAUAUGCAAUACCCAAAAUAAUUGAGUCAAUAAUUAAUUUACAAGUUGACAAUUUGACAUGCAACAUAUAUUAAUUAUUAAUUCUUAGAUCUAAUGGAUUUCUUCCAUCUCUUUCUUUCCCAGUCACGACGAACUGUCCAACUAAUUCAGCAAAGUAGCUCAUAUCUUUGAUCAUCAAAGUAGCUCAUAUCUCCAUAUAUAUCGGCUAGUUCUGACCUUAUAUUUCCAGGAUUAAUUUUCUCAAAAGUAUAAAACAGGUAAGUUCAAACGUUUUAAAUCAAGUGAUUUGAUGAUAUAUUUUUCAGUGUUUGAUGUAAUAUAUAUGUUUGUUCAAAUUUAGAGUUUAUUAUUAAGAAUUAAUUUGUUAUCUUUUUAAUUCGGAAAGAGUUUUUAUUGAAAAUAUUUUAGAGAAAAAUAUAAUUAAUUAAUCAAAGAGAUUUUUAUCACGACCCGACCCACGCCCUAUUACAUACAAUCCAACAAAAAACUAAAACUACUAUCUAACUAAUUACAUUAAUUGCCUAAAUAAUUAGUAAUAGUUAAUCCAUUAAUUUAGCUUUAAUGCGCCCCCUCAAGCUUGUAGUGGCUCACCCAUAAGCUUUCAUUGGAGAUCAAGAAAGCUUGUAGUGUAUUAUUCAUUGUUGUUUAACCAAUUUCAGUUGGUUAUUCAAUCUAUAUUGUAACUAAUUCAUUCUAACUAAUUACAUUCUUUAAUAUGCCUCUCAAGAUUAUCGAACACUUCCACAAAGUCUAUGAUCUAAUUUAGAUUGUUCAUUACGUUAACGUCGGAAUUUGAAGGUUUAUCUACAAAGUCUAUCUAGCUAGUUAGUUAUUUUUGUAUAAGUUUUUUGAAUACUUAUUUUAAUACCUUUUUCAUUUAAAUAUUGAUUUUUAAGAGGUUUCUUUUUAUUUGUAUGUUAGGAGAUAAACUAAUAUGACUGAUCAAAUAGAAGGGCUUGACAAAUCAUGGUUGUUUGAAAGUUCAACCUCGAUGAAAUUUCAAAGUGGAUUGAAAAGUUUUUUAGAUUUUGCUG